UUUGAUCAUGGCUCAAAACGAACGCUGGCGGCAGGCUUAACACAUGCAAGUCGAGCGCCCCGCAGGGGGAGCGGCAAACGGGUGAGUAACGCGUGGGAAUCUACCCAUCACUACGGAACAACUCCGGGAAACUGGAGCUAAUACCGUAUACUUCCUUCGGGAGAAAGAUUUAUCGGUGAUGGAUGAGCCCGCGUUGGAUUAGCUAGUUGGUGGGGUAAUGGCCUACCAAGGCGACAAUCCAUAGCUGGUCUGAGAGGAUGAUCAGCCACACUGGGACUGAAACACGGCCCAAACUCCUACGGGAGGCAGCAGUGGGGAAUAUUGGACAAUGGGCGCAAGCCUGAUCCAGCCAUGCCGCGUGAGUGAUGAAGGCCCUAGGGUUGUAAAGCUCUUUCAACGGUGAAAAUAAUGACGGUAACCGUAAAAAAAGCCCCGGCUAACUUCGUG
This 447-nucleotide ribosomal RNA is filed under the name uncultured bacterium. RNAcentral's name for it is "bacterial SSU rRNA". It matches the Rfam family "Bacterial small subunit ribosomal RNA", at positions 12 to 507 of the family's 1533-position model. The record is from RNAcentral.